ACUCGCCUAACGAGUGGGCGUCCGGCGGAAACUACAGGGCUUGGGACCGGAAGACUUGAGGGGUACGUCUGGGGUAGGAGUGAAAUCCUGUAAUCCUGGACGGACCGCCGAUAGCGAAAGCACCUCAAGACGACGGAUCCGACAGUGAGGGACGAAAGCUAGGGUCUCGAACCGGAUUAGAUACCCGGGUAGUCCUAGCU
This 200-nucleotide ribosomal RNA is filed under the name uncultured archaeon. RNAcentral describes it as "partial 16S ribosomal RNA". It matches the Rfam family "Archaeal small subunit ribosomal RNA", at positions 553 to 752 of the family's 1478-position model. The record is from RNAcentral.